This is a long non-coding RNA of Canis lupus familiaris (dog), 283 nucleotides long. RefSeq lists it as uncharacterized. Lineage: Eukaryota; Metazoa; Chordata; Mammalia; Carnivora; Canidae. The transcript has 3 exons. The record is from RefSeq and is a predicted model, not a curated record.
GUGUGAUUCAAAGUCAUUGUUUCCUUGUUGACUUUCUGUUUAAAUGAUCUACCUAUUGAUCUAUUGAUCCCUAAUUAAUAAUCUGCACACCAACAUCUGCAUCAGCACCUACUUUCAGAGAUUGCAACCUGAGGGAAGGCCUCAUUGAGAAGCUGAAGACCACCUACGAAGAUGCACACCUUGGAGGAUAAUUUACCAUGGACCAUCCCAUUUCCCGGUUUAAAAUUUCCUCAUUUCAAAUAAUAAUAAUAAUGACAACAAAUAAAAAUUUUUUAAAAAUAAU